CAUCUUUUCUUUCAUAUUACAUUAUAUUUUUAGGAUAGGGUAUGUGUUAGUGUUGUGGUAGUGUAUGGGGUUAAUGGUCAUUGUUAGGAUAGGGUAGGAAUUAAUGGUUGGAGUUAGGGUAGUGUAGGGGUUAAUGGUCGGUGUUAGGAUAGGGUAGGAAUUAACGGCCGGUGUUAGGAUAGAGUAGGAAUUAAUGGUUGGAGUUAGGGUAGUGUAGGGGUUAAUGGUUGGUGUUAGGAUAGGGUAGGAAUUAAUGGUUGGUGUUAGGAUAGGGUAGGAAUUAAUGGUUGGUGUUAGGAUAGGGUAGGAAUUAAUGGUUGGAGUUAGGGUAGUGUAGGGGUUAAUGGUUGGAGUUAGGGUAGUGUAGGGGUCAAUGGUCAGUGUAGUGUAGAAAUUAAUGGUAGAAGUUAGUGUGGGUUAGGAAUUAAUGGUUGGAGUUAGUGUGGGUUAGGAAUUAAUGGUUGGAGUUAGUGUAGUGUAGGGGUCAAUUGUCAGUGUAGUGUAGGAAUUAAUGGUUGGAGUUAGUGUGGGUUAGGAAUUAAUGGUUGAAGUCAGAGUAGUGUCAGAGUUAAUGGUUAGUGUUAGGGUAGUGUAGGAAUUAAUGUUAAUGUUUACUGUAAUGUAGCAAUGGAUGACCUUACUAUUAGAGCAGCCUUGGUAUAACUGCUCCAGUGUUGCAUGAAAUUAGUGGGAUUUACAAUCUUAGACAACAGCUACUUCACCUGCCACCAUUAAAAUGUCAGUAGCUCAUGCUCAGGAGUGUAACUCCUACUAACCUCAGGCAGACCAGGGGAUUAAGAUCUUUGAACUACAGAAAGGUGAUCUGUGCAGUAUUUCCUAUUAACUGCUGGAAAUAAAAGCACAGAUUGGGUUACUAUCCAUGCAGUAUGGCUUUCUAACACAUGAUGUGCAACACUGAAAUAAGCUUGAAAAUACUAAGUGCAGCAUUCAUGGUGGU
Pelobates cultripes (western spadefoot toad) is the source of this 958-nucleotide non-coding RNA. The record is from the annotation of a GenBank genome assembly. Lineage: Eukaryota; Metazoa; Chordata; Amphibia; Anura; Pelobatidae.